CCCACUGAGCCAUCUCACCAGCCCCCAAAGCAACUCUUAAAAAGGACAACAUUUGGGCUGGUGAGAUGGCUCGGCGGU
RNAcentral lists this microRNA precursor (78 nucleotides) under Mus musculus (house mouse). RNAcentral describes it as "mir-3473 microRNA precursor family". It matches the Rfam family "mir-3473 microRNA precursor family". The record is from Rfam by way of RNAcentral. Lineage: Eukaryota; Metazoa; Chordata; Mammalia; Rodentia; Muridae.